Molecule: transfer RNA, 69 nt
Filed under: Urocitellus parryii (Arctic ground squirrel)
Lineage: Eukaryota; Metazoa; Chordata; Mammalia; Rodentia; Sciuridae
Also listed under: 2 other names
Description: Spermophilus parryii (Arctic ground squirrel) tRNA
Rfam family: tRNA
About the family: Transfer RNA (tRNA) molecules are approximately 80 nucleotides in length. Their secondary structure includes four short double-helical elements and three loops (D, anti-codon, and T loops).
Source: Rfam by way of RNAcentral
GGGAUUGUGGCUCAGUGGUAGAGUGCUCGCCUAGCAUGCAUGAGGCCCUGGGUUCUAACCUCAGCACCA